Molecule: ribosomal RNA, 257 nt
Filed under: uncultured bacterium
Lineage: Bacteria
Description: partial 16S ribosomal RNA
Rfam family: Bacterial small subunit ribosomal RNA
Source: RNAcentral
UACGUAGGGGGCAAGCGUUGUCCGGAAUUAUUGGGCGUUAAAGAGCGCGUAGGCGGUCCGAUAAGUCGGCUGUGAAAGUCUAGGGCUCAACCCUGGAAAGCCGGCCGAUACUGUCGGACUAGAGUCCGGAAGAGGCGAGUGGAAUUCCCGGUGUAGCGGUGAAAUGCGCAGAGUAUCGGGAGGAACACCAAUGGCGAAGGCAGCUCUCUGGGACGGUACUGACGCUGAGGCGCGAAAAGCGUGGGGAGCAAACAGGG